UUAAAAAGGUUUUUUUUUUUUCGACGAUAUUCCUUCGUAUCCAUUGCCUCGAAUUUUGGAAAUUUCGAAAAGUUUUGACUCGUCGCGCGUUAGUUGAAAAGCAAGAAUAGUAUUCGACGUCUCUUCAUCAUUCAGCUUCUUCUUUUUCAUCCUCUUCUUCCUCGCCAAUCAGGUCUCCCGACCGUUCGAGAAGCGAGUAAUAUUCAAUUUCAGGCGCCGCAAUUUACGUGGACGAACACGAAGAAGAAGCAGAGAAGGAUACGACCGAGUGGUGAGGCAAAAAGUGGAGACGACUGGGAGAACCAUCACGAAAAGUGACUCUGGAUGACUUUGACUUUGCGAGAGAACUAAAGGUACCUACCAUUAACGAUCCUAAAUGGCGCUAGAAAGUUUUAUAAACUGUCGUUAUACGACAGAAAUACGGAAUAGGAUUCUGAGAUUUUGCGAGUAGAGCGAUCGAGACGAUCUCCUCGGAGAAGUGAACUUGGAAGGAACCGUUCGUAAGUCUGGAUGGACGGGAUCAGUCGUGUGAAGCAGAGAGAAGAAGAACGACGAAAUGUUCGAGACGUAUAGAGCAAACGGAGAUGGAAGAAAAAAAGAAAGGUACAUAAUCGUCGGAAGCAGGAAGAAAAGGAAGGAAGAAAAGAAGAAGAAGGAGUCGCGGCUUACGGUGAAGCAUAAAGCCCAGGACUAAUUCCACGAGUCGUUCCCGCUGCGAUAUUCUUAUCGAGAAUAGCCGCGAGAACGUUUCGCGAUCGUUGAAUGGCUCACCGCGGUGCAUAGAAGUCAGGUGUCGAGGCGGGGAUCCGAAGAGAAACGCAUUAACAGGUGCUGUGCUCCGGACGAUAUCGAACGUACUUUAAGCGUUCUACCCUUCCAACCGCACGAGAGGGAAACCCAUAAAGCAUUUGACCACGAACGAGGGUGACAGGCACGAGAACGUGGCGGAGAAACUCGCGGCGAUGUUUCAUCGAGCUUCCGAGCAAAACUUACUUCUACGUUACACGUAGUCGGAUCUUCGCGAGUCGGCUACCAGUGAAAGGAAAGGAGGAGAGAAGAUGCUGCGAGAAGAUACGACGUGGAAGGUGUAAUGGAUCGCCACACGACCCGCUCGGUCCCAACCCCAUAUGGAACACCGGGAGAGAUCGGCCAGAGAUUACAGGGAAGCAGGGCAUAAUGUCCAAACAGUUGCUCGUCAACAACCGACUAACGGUCGACGAAAACGUUCUCUUCUACCGAGAGCAGCGCGUGAGCACAACGAUCUCCGAUCCCAACGUCGAAUUCCUCGAAGAACGACAACCACGACUACGACUACUACUACUACUACUACGACGACGUCGUCGACGACGACGACGACGACGACGACGACGA
Vespula vulgaris is the source of this 1371-nucleotide long non-coding RNA. RefSeq lists it as uncharacterized. The record is from RefSeq and is a predicted model, not a curated record. NCBI's taxonomy places the organism in Eukaryota, Metazoa, Arthropoda, Insecta, Hymenoptera, Vespidae. The transcript has 5 exons.